AGCUGAGCAGCAUCAAACCAAGCAAGAAGGGGGAGAUGGGUGGAGGAUGGCCCUUCCAGAAAAAGGAAGCAGCCAGCACAAGUUUCCUGAGGUUUUUAACCUUUUGAUGACUUUUACACUCAUACUGAACUAAAAAUAAAGCAGAGCAGAGAAAAAUACCUCUAGGUCAACAUAAAAGCUAAACAUUUAGCUGUUGAGGAAGUUUUUU
This is a long non-coding RNA of Phodopus roborovskii (desert hamster), 208 nucleotides long. RefSeq lists it as uncharacterized. The transcript is spliced from 3 exons. NCBI's taxonomy places the organism in Eukaryota, Metazoa, Chordata, Mammalia, Rodentia, Cricetidae. The record is from RefSeq and is a predicted model, not a curated record.